Molecule: long non-coding RNA, 2599 nt
Filed under: Homo sapiens (human)
Lineage: Eukaryota; Metazoa; Chordata; Mammalia; Primates; Hominidae
Description: HSALNT0293677
Source: RNAcentral
UGGGAGCCCAGGCAGAGGAGGUGCCAAGAGCAAGCGAGGGCUCUGAGGACUGCCAGCACGCUGUCACCUGUCAUUAUCAACAACUUGACUAAAAUACCUCUGUGUUUGGCAGAAGAGGAAGCCAGAGAAAUUAGAAACAAGAGAAACAUUUGAUGCAUUAUUGCUGACUUGAAGAUGGAGAGAGGUUCCCCUGAGCAUACAGGAGUACUCCAUGAAGACUGCAAUGGCUUCCCUCUCACAAACUGCAUGCACGUCCAGCAGCUCCUGGAGUGUGUCUGUGGGGAAUCUCACUUGCUGGGCCAUCUGCUGGCUGUAGUGGUUGGCUGCCCUCUGCACGGCUGCUGAGUUCUCACACUGGGCCAGAACUGCCAUUGCAUUCUCCAGACAAGGAGUCGCUCCACUGUUGAUGGCAUCCAGGUAGGUCUCCACCAGCAUCCCCAGCCCUGAAUGAUUUAGGAAAUUUAGGGAAUAGAUAGAAAGUUUUCACUCAUUGUUUUACGAGUGGUAUGUAUCAGCAUUCUAAAAAUCAGAAAAAAUUCCAUUUAACAUGAAUUUUCCCUCCUUCUCCUUCUUUCAAUUCUACUAUUACUACUACUACUUUUUAUGGAGUCACUUUCCUACGAUAACAUGACUGUUGUUCCUAUUUAUUCUUUCUAUUUUGUUCUCCAGCUCAUCACAUUACAAAGUUAAUUACUAAUCACAAACAAUAUGUAGCAAGGGUUUCUUGAAAAAAAAAAACUUUUCUGCUUAAGUAAAAAUUUAAAAGCGUUUAUUCAGCAAAGUAAAUUAUAUCAUUUGUGGAUCAUAAUUCUGAAUGUAAAUGCAGGUGCUUUUAUAAAAACACUUAAGACAGUGCCAGAACAUCAAACCCUGUGAGAAGCUCUUUUCUAUACAGAGCACUAAAAGACUGCACAGGUAACAUGUUCAUGAAGCCAGCUUUGUUUAUAAGAUUACGCUGAAUUUUGUAUCUCAAAAUCUCAAUAGGCUUGCAGAAACUCAUGACAUGCUACUUACUUUCUGUUUUGUGUAAAUUCACAAUACAGCUUUUAUACCCUCACUGAGAAAAAAUCCUUCACUUAUCCCACACCUCAUAACACAGAUGUUAUCUCCUUACCAGUUGUUCGUGCUCAUAAGCUUAGUUUACUAGUUUUUGAGAUACAGUAGGCCUCAGUAAACACCCAUAUAGGGAAAUAGACUCACGGUUUCCAGUGACAAGGAUUCCCUCUCUCAGGGUCUUGGUCUUUGCAUGGGUGAAGAUAUAAGAACAGAAAUUUUCUGAUUGCAUCUGGAAAUUACUAUCCAGUUGGUCUUCUCGUACUUCUUCAACAUGGAGUAAGAGUUUUUUGUCAUUUAUUGGCCGGUCAAAGACAAAGCACUUCUGUUUUGGAAAGAAAUGCCUGAUCCACUCCCUGGGCUUGUUAGAAUUUUGGAUUUGGGGAUUCUUGCCUGCAGAAUUAGUGAAAAAGUGACUACUGAAGAACAGGUUUUAAGUGAGCCUGAAGAUUUUCAUUUCCAAAGUUCCUUCCAUCAAUCACUACAGUCUCUUGUGUCUGUGAAUCUACUCUAUGUAAUCAAACCUCUCAUGCAACCAAACUUAUGCUAAUCUACUUAAGGUAUGAAAAGUCAAUUUCUGCACAAAGCAGAGUCAAAAAGGUACUUCUGGAAAUGAAGGGAAUGCAUCCACCUCAAGUGAAGGAAUUUGUGGUUGGUUUCCUCAGCCACUGUAUGAUGUCCCGUAGACUGACGAUUUUUAAAAUGUUUGUUGAAUUAUGAUUAACUAAAAUAUGAUAAGAAGUACUUUCUUUAAAAAUUGUAUAUAUUUAAGGCGUUAUAACAUGAUGUUUCGAUAUACAUGUACAUAGUGAAAUUACUACUAAGUAAGCAAAUUAUAUAUCCAAUACUUUCUAUACUUUUCUUCCCUUUUUUUGUGGUAAGAGUACCUAAAAUCUAAUCUCUGUAAAUUUUAAAUGUAAAAUACAAUAUUGUUAAGGAUAGUUCUCCUGCAGUAUAUUAGAGCCCUAGACUUUCCCACCCUAUAUAACUUCAAGUUUGUACCCUUCACCCACAUGUCCUCAUUUCCUCCCUCACCAUGCCCUGGUAACCACUGUUCUACUCUCUGUUUCUAUGUAUUUGACGUUUUGAAAUAGAAUCCAUAUAGAAAUGAGGUCCUGUCAUAUUUUUCUUCCUGUUUCUGGCUAAUAUUACAUAGCAUCAUGGACUUUCUCAAUCUUACUGUCCCCAUGUCAGAAAUGAAAUGUUGGGCUUAAAAUUUAAAUGCUAGAAACAAGGACAAGAUGUGGCUGGGAAAAAUGUUUGAAAGAGACGGAAAAUACUCAGGUCAGAUUAUAUUAGGUCUAACAUUGUCUUGCAGAGGGAUUCUGUGACAUAUAUCAGUUAUUCAAAACAAAUAUUUGUUGAAAGGAUGAACAAAUGAACAAAGAUGGAUAUUGAUUGUAGGUGCCAACAGGUAUCCACUCCACUAAAUAUAAUCUGUUUAACAAAUGUAUAAUAGAUUGACAACAUAUUAUAUGAGACUGUAGAAUGAAGUAGGUGAUGUUAUGAAAAUGGUAAAAUAAAGGAUUUGACAGUCCUACUGGAA